CAGUUAAAAAGCUCGUAGUUGAACCUCAGACCUGGCCGGGUGGUCUGCCUCACGGUAUGUACUGUCUGGCUGGGUCUUACCUCUUGGUGAGCCGGCAUGCCCUUUACUGGGUGUGUCGGGGAACCAGGACUUUUACCUUGAGAAAAUUAGAGUGUUCAAAGCAGGCCUAUGCCUGAAUACAUUAGCAUGGAAUAAUAAAAUAGGACGUGCGGUUCUAUUUUGUUGGUUUCUACAGUCGCCGUAAUGAUUAAUAGGGAUAGUUGGGGGCAUUAGUAUUCAGUUGCUAGACGUGAAAUUCUUGGAUUUACUGAAGACUAACUACUGCGACAGCAUUUGCCACGCAUGUCUUCAUUAAUCAAGAACGAAGGUUAGGGGAUCGAAAACGAUC
This 388-nucleotide ribosomal RNA is filed under the name uncultured eukaryote. Its description in RNAcentral is "SSU rRNA". It matches the Rfam family "Eukaryotic small subunit ribosomal RNA", at positions 616 to 1009 of the family's 1831-position model. The record is from RNAcentral.